GGAUGGCUCAGUUGGUUAGAGCGUGGUGCUGAUAACACCAAGGUUGCAGGUUCAGUCCCCAUAAGAGACA
Molecule: non-coding RNA, 70 nt
Organism: Podarcis lilfordi (Lilford's wall lizard)
Lineage: Eukaryota; Metazoa; Chordata; Lepidosauria; Squamata; Lacertidae
Source: the annotation of a GenBank genome assembly